GCCAAGAAAAAGUAGGAGAAGGCGAGGAAACAGUGUGGUAGAAAGCAGUUGGCGCAAGUUCCAUUACGAGUAAAGUUACGGGCAGAAUCCAUUCUCUUCCAAAGAUCUUAUGCAGGUUGGGUGAAGUAAAGUUCCAUUCCAGCUAGGGGUGCUUAAAAGUAAAGAAAGAUUCCAUUCAGACAAAAAGGGCAGGGCGAAACCAAGGACAGGGCGAAAGAACAAGUAGUUUCGGGAAAUCUUAUAGUAGUGAAGAAUUGCUAGUUCGAGUUAAAGUGAGAGUUUUCUCCUAGUCUUAGAUAGAAUCAAAGGUGAACAUUCUAGUACUUGCAUUGAAUCUAGCCUUCAAUGUGCUCAUUUUGAUUAUUAAAGCAAUGGUGGAGAGCCUUCUACUAUCUUUGUUAAGAGCAAACAACAGGGUGACUUACCCGCUUAUACUUAUUCCCCACCUGAUCGGAGUAAUGACUGACGCUCUUUUAGCUCGCUACCGUUUCACUCGGGCUCCUACCGUCGAGAGCAUCUACGAAGACAGGACUUGCUCAUAAUGCAUUAUAACCCAUUUAUGACUUGUUAUGUGUUUGAGUUCUCUGCCGCUUUCAUUAGGACUUGUUGAUUAGAGUCCAGCCCCAGUUCCUGCUCGAGUUAUAGUUUCAUACCGAGUCGAAUGUAUUAAUGGUGGAAUGUAUUAAUGCCCCAAAAACACAGUACUUGCUAGAGUAGUUGCGAGUAUAUGUUUAAUCUGAAGGCUUAAUAGUAAGGCUUUGUUGGGUCUUGCUGGCUUUGAAGUUCUAUUAUAUAAGCUGUUACUGGCUACACUAAGGAGACUGCUCGAGGAAGAAUAAAGUAAAGGCUAGUGCAUCAUCUGGAACACAGGAAGUUACGCUCACUCUCUCUUCCUCACCGGCUCUCUCUUCCUCACCUGUAGAGACUCAACACCUGUAGACUCAACUAUUACUGACGCUGACGCUUAUCCUGCUAAAGAUCCGGCUUCUUCUCCUGUAACCUAAGGAUCAGGCUUCUUUCUCCUGGGUAACCAUUGAUUCUAUCUCUUCUUAUUAUAGAGGCCUCGUCUGGAUAAGGUAUUUAAUGAGUGAAAAGAACAAGAGGGGAGGUCGGCAAUCAAGUCACCUUUUACUACCGCCGUGUAUAGACCUUACCUUAGAGCCAGAACAGGACCACCACUAAGACUUCCUUCAACAAGCCCAGCAGCGGCCAACUAGGUGACGAACACAGGACUUGAAGUUCAGAAUUCCAUUGAGUUGACUAGCUGCCCUGGUAGUAGUAGCACUGGUAGCUUACUUUAGCCCGAGAGACUUUCUGUCUUCUCUUGCUUCCCCGACCUAAACUCUAAAGUCACUGAGGCUCUUAGCACCUUGCCUCUCCUUAUGACUGAACAGCUUUACCGACACAGUGGAAAUCCAAUCUUCUUCAAGAAGAACUAUUUCUAUCUGCUUGUUUGCUUGUUCCCGCUGCGAUUGUGAAGAGAGUGCCCGUUGCUUGAAGGUACUGAAUCGUCGUUGCUUAUUCUCUAGCACUUGCUUGCGCUGGCAAACAAACAUUAUCUAUGGUUUCCGUUGCUAGUCUAGGCAUAGUAGUUGCCUUUCAUAGCUUCCCGAGCCUACCUAAACUCUCAAGUCACUUUAGUGAAAAUCCUAUAGAUGUGGAAUAUGGGUCAUAGGCAUCUACCCAGUACAGGUAUUUGAUUGGAACUCAUGGAUAAAGAAUUUGACUCAGUGCUUGGAAUCUACUACUGCUGUAUCCGCUCUAACAGCAUACUUUAGCCCUAGAUUAGAUACCCGCUUGCUUUGACUUCGACUUCAUACUAAACUGGAACUGGAUACUUGACUUCCUUACCAGUUCCUACUCCUUCUCUGGCUUCUGCAUCUUUAGUCUACUAGCUAAGGGUUCCGUUUACCCCAUUUCCAUGAAGGCACUUUGGGCGAGAUCCAUUCUUUCUCAAAACUCUAACAAACUACAGUAGAGCUGACUUUAGCGUGUAGUAACUGUUCAUUUCAACAACUUUCCCUGACAUGACGCUGAAAUAAGGAACCGGACUAACAAGGUCUUACCCGAACCAUACUCUCCACUUGAAGAAUAGAAAUUGUAAGUAGCACCGACGGAUUCCACUGAUACUAUACUUCGAACUCUACAAACUGGAACUAUCACUGCUUACUGGCACACUUCUUGGUUAAGGCUAAGGCUCUACAGGGUGAGAUCGAUCGUAUUGUGUUAUCUGCAUUAAGGUAGGUCCGCUCACUUUAUACUUACUCCGUCGUUGGGCAUGAGAACUUGGAUUGGGCAUCUGAUCCAACUAUGGAAUAUGGAGGUAAGUAAACAACACAGAGCAUUGCUUCCUUUAAUGAAAGUGAGAAUAGAGGCUAUUUGCCAUUAGUGGAGUUGACCCUAUGUUAAACAACGAGAAAGAUUUUCAACAACGCGAGAAGAAACAAGCUAUAGUCAUAAUUCUAGUGAAAUACAGUAGUAACAAAUAAGAACGAUAGCAGAACAAGCUAUAAUAAUCACUAUAGUUAUCAUUUGUAAUCACUUAUAUAACGAGAUAUAUUAUAUACUCUUGCGCUUUUUCGCUAUUCUUGUUUAGUGUUUCGUGCCCUUGCCCUACUUCUGAAUUAUGUCCUUUCCUUAUGAAGCGUGAAAGUCCGCUGGAAAUCAAACUGUAAGUAGAUGUAGGGUUGGGUGCUUUUUCAAUGGGUAGAGAGAGAGGGAGGUGAUUGUGCUUGUGUUUAAGUCGAGUGUUGCGUGAAGAAUGGAAUGGAAUAAUUGCAUGAUCCACAGCGUCGGUGGAGUCUCUUUGUGCUUCUGAUGUCCUCUUUAACUAACUAAGCUUAUUAUUCGUUGCUUGUUCGGUAUCUUAUAGCUUGAGGAGAGUCUCCUUCCCUUGUUGUAUAAAGAAAGAGGUGAUUGGCUUGCUCUUAGUGAAUGGAAUGGCCUGAUUGCUCUUAGCCCAAGAGUUGUCGAUUCGAAAUCCGCUUUCUUGCCUUAAUCUCCAUUCUUUCUUCAACACUAAGUGGUCAAAGUGGGUUUGUUGGUCCAGAUUCCAGUAUUGGUCCAGAUUGCAGUAUUGCUCCAGAAGCUCUUCUUUAAGAAUUUGUUUCAGGCUGUUAGCUACUUGGUGACCGCUCUCUCUUCUGUGGGGGAAUAAUCUUAGUAUGAGUACACUCCUUAUCUUGCACCCGAACAAGACUUAGAGCUCUAGCAUCAACAGAAUGACCUACUUCAAUGGAAACGGAAACUGCAACACGCGCACCCAAAGCAAAGAGAAGGUAAAGCCAAGCACCGCCCUCACUCCCAGAGAUCUUUGUCUAAUAACCUACCUCUUUCUCUGGUAAACUUGAAGUGAAGCUGAACUCUGACCUAUCUCGUCGCCAACUAAGCCCUAAAUAAGAAGUUAUCAACACGAGCACACCCGAACUAGGACAACACCGGCACUGCUUCUCCCCACCCAAGAGAGUAAGCUGUCUGGUUACCUAUAGAUAGUAAGUCAAGGGGUGAAUCCUGUCAGUAAGUAAAAGAGUGAUACCGGGCAGGGCAAUUCAAUUAGUAGGCUAGAAUUCACUAUUUAAUAACUUGAGAAGUUUUAUGGGAAAAUACCAGUAAUCUUAUCUUCCCGUUCAAUAAAUGCAUUUCUUCCUAUAAUCCUUAGGGUUCCAUUCUUUCUGGUUGCUAUCUCGUACCUCCUUCUUGCUGAAAAUGGACCACGACUUUAAGACUUAGUGGCGCUAACUGGACACCAAUGACUUAAGGGCCAGUACUAUAAGACCUAGGCUAAGAUGAAACAGCCAAUCUCUAUCCUCUGGUGCAUCUCAACAGGCAGCUGGCCUAGCACCAUCAUUGAAACUGACACCGAGUCAACAGCCAAUCUCUCUCCUCUUGCAACAACAGUUGGACCGCCACUACUUGCUUUGCCAUUGUAUAUAAGAACUCACUCCGCUAUAACUGAGCAGCUUUCUCAUCUACCUCGACUUGUUGAACAGACUCGGAAAGGGACUCUAUAUCGGGUGCUCCAGUGUUCUACUCCGGUCCUAUACUCAAGAAUGAGGUAAACUCUGAUUGUACCGAACAAAACAAGCUUAGGAACAAGAAAAGCAACCAGGCGGGCGUUAGUCCGGGGUCUUCUCAGAGGCAUUAGGAGUUUUCUUUUGAAGCAAGGAGUAGAGCUAGCUUAAUCCAUCACAUAUCAUGUGUGCACUUCUUUUUCUCUUUUCUGAAGUUUAGAGUAAGUAAUAAGUAAUGUUAUGCUCUUGGAGCAGUUGUCGUUCAAUUCGAUUCUGCAGCUAUAGUGAGUUCACCAUUUGCCUCCAUUCGUUCUGAAAGCUUAGUGCCUCAAUUCUACAGUGAGUAAGUAGUAAUAAGCUAUUAUUAUGUUAUGAGGAAUAAUAAGUAUAUUAUGAGGAGUAAUAAGCUAUUAUAUAUUAUGAUAUCAUUAUUAUUAUUAUGUAUUAUGCAAGAGAGAGUCAGCACUUAUAUCGAGAGAAGAGAUAAACAAAUUAAUAAGCACUUAUAUCAUAUGUGCACUAGAUGCAAAAAGAAACAAAAGCAAUCAAUGGCUUUCUACUAGCGUGAAUGAUAAGAUAGGGCGCCAGCAGGUCUAAGUGCGUUAAGUUAAGUUUAGAUGAGUUUUUGAAGAUAGAGGGUAUAGCGUGACUAAACACUGUCCGUCCCUAUGUCCCUACUUAGUUUCGAUAGCUUUAUAAGUGGAAUUGAAGGUUUCAUUGUUAUAGCAGCCCAGUAGUGAAUGGUUUGAGUUUAAGACCGGGUAGUAGCAGCCCAGUAGUGAAUGGUUUGAGUUUAAGACCGGUAGUACUGCAGAGAAUCCUUAGCCAGAGGGGAAAAAUACCUUAGGACGCGGGUGAUAUUAAUACGCCGGGGGCUUCUGAAGCACGUAGAGAGUUCGGGUCGGGGCAGACUAUCGGGAAUAAAGAUCUUCAGCAUCAAUUAGUUAUUAAAGUCGACAAGAGUAUCUUUGGUUGCUCUUUCUACAAAUAAGGAAUUGAGAAUUGAUUGAAUCUGUUCUAUAUAUCAUAUAAGAUAGAAUGGAAAGACCUUACGAGCAACUACGAUAGCACAUGUAGACAUCGACAACUGAAUCAGUAUCUUUAUCAGGAGCCUCAUCCAAGUUAGAAACUGCAAGCGGGUCAGAAAGGGAAGUUAAGUCAUCAGCAAGCGGGUCAGAAAGGGGAGUUCGACUCAAAUCCUACAAGCAAAUAGGCCUAUAAAUAAUAGGAAUGCUCAGGUUACACUCAGGAUAUCCCUCUCCUCUUGCAAACCAACCCUAGAUGAGAUAAAGGUUACGUCCCAAAUCAGGAACUUCCAUGGGGGAAAUCUGAUUACGAAGUAACCGGUCCAACCAUUUCUUAUGGUGAACUUGUCAAGAUGCUCGGGUGGCGAUAACUGAACGGAGUUGAUAGCCAAACAAACCAGAUUCUGAAAAGAGGUUCGGCUCCAGUCAGAGUAAAAGGUUUUUAUGAGGAAGAAGGAUCCCAUGAAGAAGGAUCGGCACGAUGAUGACGACUACCGCCGACGGGCAGGUGCGUGCGCUGCAAGUAAUAUUUCGAAAGUAGAAAGUCGUACCUACCAGCCCCGACGCUACUUUGACUACUUGACUAGGGCGCUAAACUCAAGUUCGUGCCUGCUUAUCUCGGCAACAAUAACCAUAGAACAGCGAGCCAUCAAUGGAUAUUACAAAUCUUCCGCAUUGUUACAGAAGGAGAGGAACCACCACAUUAGGUCGUUACUUGGCUGUGCCGUUGCUAGUUUGCUUGGUAACGCGUGAGGAGUUCUCUGAUCUUAUGCUUCAUAGAGAGAAAGAUUCGAAAUGAAUUCUUAAGAGACAGUUAAGAGUAAAGGGAAGGCUGUGUAUUCAAUACAUUCUACACCUGAUGCAAGAUAAUCAAUCAAUGUUUGAGUUGACUCAGCGCUAAAGUAAGCAUCAAAUGGUUCAGAGAGGAUUGUUUUUGUUUCAUCUACAUCCUAUAAGCUCAUAUUGAUUUUCUCCUGCCCAUUACACUCCUAAUGUUGCGCUAACGAAGCUGGAACAUGCAAGUAAAGAAACAUGUUCAGAGUCUCCUUCAGUUCUUGGUCAAGUAGAAAGUAUAGGUUAAGCGGUUCAGUCUUCAGCUUGAAGUUCCAUUCCUGUAGUUUCACAAUUCCAUACUUAUAUGAGGAUGCACAUGAAAUGGAUUCAAUUGAUUCUUUUCCUAGAGGAUCUUCUACGCUCGAAAAUCAGGAUUCCUUAAAAUAAGAGAUAAGGGAAAAAGUAGCGUAUACGUAAAAUUAUAGCAUUGUAAGUAAGCCCCGGCCACGGAUAAAGAAAUAAUGGGUUUUCUAUACGACAUUAGAAACUUACCGGCAAACACUAAUUCAGGAUAUAAAGCAAAGUAAAGAAGCUAGUGAAAAAGCAAGGGUAAAGAAGCUAGUGAAAAAGCAAGGGAUCAAUAAAGGGAUCUAUACGCUCUCGGUUACCUUAAUAACUCUGUUAGCACAAGUCCUGUUUUCAACUCUCAAGUUCUCAUUGAAUUCAAAAGGUGAUUGAGCUACCUUACUAGCCAAGGAAACAAAUAAGGAAUUUUGGCUCUUGUUUGCACAGAAGAGUCAGAAAAUACUGAUGAUUCAGUUGCUUCUGAUACAGCGGAAUAUGUUUCUUCUGGUGGAACUCCACUUUAUGAACCACAAUACCUUGAUCUACUUGUUGAUCUUUCUUCGGAUUAGAAGCCUGUAAUUGAUUCUUCAUAUCUUGUUUAAAAACCAGCUUCCAAUACAUCAUCUGCUUCUCCAGGAUCUUGUUUAAACUCGAGCACUUGCGUCGCACAGCAUCUAGUUCAUUCUACUACUCCGGGCUUAAGAACCAACAACUUUCUCCUCUCUGGUUCCUACUUCCCCGACUAAGAGAAGAAUUUAUAGAAAUCCAAAGAAUAGUAGAAAGUCAAUAAGCAGUUACAAAGGAAUACGCAAGUGAAUAAGCUUUCUAAAGAGAAUAAUAAGUGUCCCGCAAUUAAUAAGAAGCAAGUACUUUUGAUUAGGCUAAGGCGUCACAGUUCAUGAUUUUCCUGGUUGGUUGACCCGGCACUUUUCAUCGUAUUUAGAAAGAAGCUAUGCGGAGGUCCUCUAGCUCUAAGUCUUCGAUAAAUGACAAAGCCUCCAUUGAAUGAGGGUAUCCAUCCGAUGUUCUAGUUCAUUUGACACCCAGGGACUGUUUCGGGGUUACGCCUCUACUUUCUUUUAUAUCUGAAUUAGGCUCUGGCUUUGCCUUAGUAGUAGUUGCUUUUUGGACCUAGUCUUCCAAUUCCAUUCUUUUAUGCAAUGAUGCGAGGCGGGGUACAAAGAAUAGAAGUGACUUAACACUUAAGGAAUCCCCCGAGUCCGAUGAAAACAAAUUGAGAUUUUCUUAGCUCCGAUCUAUACUAAUUCACUACUAAAUGCAGGGCUUUCUCUACUAAAUGCAUUAUUUAUCUUAUAUUAGGAUUACGUUUACUCCUAGACUAAACUCGCUAGCUCCCCCACUGAAUUGACAAUAACAACUUCACUUCUACUACUAUAGGAUCCAGAGAGGGCAUGGAAACAGGCAAUUACUAGUUAGGCCAAGUAAAAGAGAGGAGACAACCGACGUAUUCCACUUCUUCAGCUCGGGAUUCAACAAUUUCCACUCUUAUGUUAUGAAUUGAAACUCUUAUGUUAUGUGCUGCUCUGCCAAGGAGGAUUUGGACUUAUGUUGGGUAUGAAUCAAAUCUCGACAAAAAGGAAAAAAGAGCAAUAAAGUGCUCCAAUCUUAUCCGAUCUCCUUGCCUACUGCCCCAAGUGUUCGAGGCGAAGAAGCCAAUAGCAGUGAACCACAGCAGCAGCAGUGCGGAAUGGAGUUUCUCGUCCGGUGGAUCUGAUCUAUCUAUUGAGUUUCUCGUCCGGUGGAUCUGAUCUAUCUAUAGUAUUGGGGCAAUACCGAUCCAAGUAGGGAUCUUUUCCGCAUAAGAUUUGUGUUUAAGUCAACCGCCCAAAAUCCUUAUCCUUAAUCAAUUAAUCCACUGCGCCUUCCUGCGACUGAUCGGCUGUCUACCUUUCCUGGCCCGUCUCUUUCCAAAGCCACUUAAGUUGAUAUGAGCAAUUGAUUGAUAGGACAAAAAAGAGAGAAAAGCCCCCUUACAAGUCAUUUAGCGCCACAUCUCAACACGAAUAUUACUGCUUACUCGAGUUCGAGAGUAUCUAAUUGAACAAAAGGCUGGGAACUGAAUCACCAAGCAAAAGAGAGAUGCACCUUACUAAUUUGGAAAUGAAUGCCCAACACGGAAAAGGUAAGGAAGAGAUUGUGAAUCGGAAGGGUAAGAAAAGGAGUCCUGCUCGGAUCAGCGCGGGUGCAGAAUCCAAGCAUAUGAUUUUCCACUCAGAUCGAAUAUAUUCCAAAGUGGAGUUAGAUUAUUCAAACCGUAAACGUCAAAGCGAGGCAGCCAAAUACAUUUCCAUUUCAAUCAAGAGACAAGCUGUAUAAAAAAACGGAGUUUGUCUAUAGUAUAGUUGAUCACGGCUGCUUUUAGGACCUCUUUCAACAAGCCGAUGGUGAUCUAACUUUAGAAAGAGAAUAUAGCUUUGGUAGUGUGCAUAUAGUACAUAAGAAUAAGAUCUAGCUUGUUGGGGUGGUGGACUUACUUGCUUGUUAGGAUGGAUGGGUAAUCAAGUAGCCAGCAGCUUGGCUUGUUUCAAGAAGUUAAUAGGAGCCGAAGCCAAGUUCUAGCGGUAGGAGCGAAACUGUUAUAGUGAACUUUUCGCCUAUAUUUGCCUAUAUAAAACUGGAGUAUUCGUUAUCAGAGUUGUUGGCUUUCACACCAGAUCGAGAGUCCCUUGUAGGAAGAACACAGGUUCACUCUUUAAUAAGACAUCCUCUGUAAGUAGUCUUCAAAUGGAUUACCUUAUCCGGGGAAACAGAAGAAUUGGCUCGGUAAAGAAUGGAGCAGCCACCUUAUAUACUAGUUUACAGGACUUGGUAAUUAACCUUAGGACUUGCUUUAGAGGAGAUGGGUCUCGAUUGGACCACUACUUUAAGGAGCUGGACCUGGACUCGGUAAUAACUUAUUCCACUCUAUUCUUAUUCCAAAGUGGGAAGUGACUUCUAUUCCUAUUCUGAUUUCUAAUACUUCCUCUAAUGCGCUAGAUCGGGCAACUAUAUUUCUUAUAUCAAAUCAGGCACCUGAGUAAGGUUAGUAUUGAUUCUAUUUCCUUUCUUACUUGAAACUAUCCCUCUCUUUCUCCCGAACCACAUAGUCAGUAGGCAAAAGGGAAGCUGUCUUUGUAUAAGAAUGCAACUAAUAAGUUCCAGAAUUGACCUCCUUCUCGCCAAUAAAACAACUCAGAAGAAAACCCCCUCUCAGUGCUAUCCACUCUAAAAUAUAGAAUGAAUAUAGAAAAAGUAGUGCACAGGAGAAUCAGAAUGAAUAUAGAAGAAGUAGUGCACAGGAGAAUCUUGAGUUUCACCAGAAGCAAGAGCCAGAGUAGGAACAACUGAAGAAGCCGGGUGCUCCAUAGGUGCAAUUCCAUUCUGACUUGAUAACUGUAACUGGGGUGUUAACUGCCCCAAGGGAACCAUAAGGAUGUUAGGAAUAAAUGAACUAUAACAGCACUUCAGUAGCUUUCUGGUCCAAUCUCUUAUAAAAACAUAUAAAGAGAUGUGAAAUCAUUCCUUUGAAGUCUAUAAAACAGGGCAUAGUUGCUUGGUUAGAAGUCCAUAAAACUGGGUUCAGUCUUAAACUACUUAGGCCAAUUCUUUCACUGCCUUGGUUCAUUCUUUGCCUUACCAGCUCUUUCCUCUACUAGCUCUUUCCCUUACUAGCCCCGAACAGUGGUUGCAUUCUGUAUUCUGCUAUUCCUAGUUUACGAGUUGGGGCAGGGCAUUUCAAAGGUUGCUUGGCGCCUAGCUCACCUCUUGCAGAAGCAACUGGUAGAUCAGCAACUACAAGUCCCAGUAAGAAAGUUAGGAAAGGGAAGUUUACUGGUCAUAUAGAACAAGUAGUAGAGAUUCGGUUCCUGCCGCUACACCCCGUUCACUUUAGCACCUAAGUCGGCUUGUCUAGUAGUUACUUGUCGGGUCAUACACCCAGGACUUGUAAUCAUAGGUUAGGAAGCUAAGCUGUACCCAGCCUGAGUAGAAACCAGAUCUUAAGGUGUGUUGGUUUGGAUUCUUCAAGUGUGGUUAUCGGCCUAUCUUCUGUUGUCGACUCCACUUUCCUUGCCUCUUCUGCUUACAAUUGAAUUAACACUUUCGCCACUGAUGCACAUGUUUCGGGCAAUACUGAAUGCUUAAAACUCGCUUCCGCCUACUUCAACACAAUAACCUCUAUCUCUUGCAGACAAUAAAACAAUAACUCUACUUUAAGUUCCUUGCCUUCUCGCUUCGAUUGAUGGUUCCCUUUCUGCUUCCUUUCGAAUGGAAUUUGCAUAUACGCUUGCGGCUUCAGAUCUUUAUCUAUCUUCUUCUUUAUAUCCUAAUUUAUCUACUAGUAUAACUCUCCUUUCAGAAGCACCCAAAGAUUCCUUAAUUGCGAAACGAGGACUUGCACAAUAACUUCUCUCUCCUGUGCAACACCUAAUAUUGAGGUUUAGGCUUGAACACACACCUUUUGGUUUAGGCUUUCUUUCACACCAGCCAUUUCCCUGAUUCCUCUCCUGUUGAAGAUCUUUCUUCCCUUGGUUGUUUAAGAUAGGCACAACUUACAAUAAGAGCCCCCCCAAAUGUAUAGAAUUGCAUUUCUACACCCAAGCAGUUAGUUGGUUUCUUUUACUUAUUAAGCUAUCCCUUGCGCUUUUACUUGACUUUCAUAUUGCCCUUUUUGCUCUAGUUCUCAUAAUGUUAGUAUUGAUUCUCAUGUUAGUAUUUAUUCGAUCCGUAGCUGGGACCACUACUCGGUGUUGGCUUGUUCUACUUGUUUGCUUGUUUCUUAUUCAUGGAGUUUCCCCUAGACUAUAAGGACAGAGGCACCCUUUCUUUUCUUUUACUGACAGCCCGGCCCGAAACUAACAUAUUAUAUUACUUCCAAUCUUCUGCAUAAGCCAUAUUAGUAUCAAGUCAAUCAGCAGCAAUCGGUAGAGCAGAAGAGAAGCAAAGAGAAGAAACUGCCGUUAAGUCGUCAGCAGAAGAAUAAGCAAGGUCCAAUGGAAACUUUAUCCGUUAGCUAAAGAACUCGCUUCAACAGUUUAGCAUUCCCUUACUCCCUAAACUAGACUUUCCACUUCAUAUUCUUUAUACCCCCGACUUUUCUUUUAACCCACACCUCUUCUUCUCCGUGGGCAUUCGCCAAGAACAGAUCUCGCCGGCCAAUAUAUAAGUAAAACUCCCUUCGCGCCAACACUGGAACUGGUUCUUCUCCUUCGGAUUCUCUUGUAACAGCUUACUUACUUCCUUCGGAUUCAAACAUUUAUUCUUCCAUUCCAUUAUCAAGGUUAACUCGACUAGAUACUGCUUAAUCUUCUCCAGCUUCUUUAUUGCCUUUAAAGAGACCUGAGCUUGAACUACACUUCCUAUGCUUAUGCUAUGGUUGGUUACCCCAUUCCAUUCUAUUAUACAGAGCUCAUUCCUCUUAAUCUUCUCCAGCUUCAUAUUGUUCAACUUCAACUGUCAUUCUACUUUAAGACUUAAACACAAGCAAUACAAACAUAAUUGCCAACUUUCUUUCUACUUUAUUGAAUCUAUCGAGGGCAUAUAGGAAUUACUAUUAGCACUGUAAAGACAAUUUGGACGAAGUCAACAUAUACUUCAUUGAAUCUUUAGAGCGGAACUUUCACUUACUUUCGAGGCAACACCACCUAGGGCAGCGAAUUCUCUUGUAGGCUUGCUUCCUCGCCUGUUCCUACUAAGGAUUUGGAAACGACUUCUGAUCUUGUCUUGCAACACCCGAAACUCUUUAAGGACCUGACCGCAAAGGCUUCUGAUCCAGCUUUCAUAACAGCUAGAGAGUUCCUUUAGACACUUGUCCCCCGCCUAGGCAUGAUAGAAGGCUAUCCCUUAUUCAAAAGCACUACUACUUGUUGGGGUAGUCUUCAAAUGAGUCUUUCAUGACCGAAUACCCAUCAAAGCACUAUGCGGCUUAAGACUUUCUUAACAAGGCUCAGAUAAAUAAGAGGGAGCGGAGUGAAGAAGACCAUUGUAAAGAUCCCAUCCCAGUAACUUCGAGGCGGUACCAUCUUGAAUCCAGGUCGGGUCGUUAUAUUAUAUGUAGAUGUCGAGUCAGCAGAAGGACCUAGUAUAGUUGGUGCAUCAGAAGUACUAUUCGAUUUAUAAGAGAACAAUAGGUGAAUCGGUCCCUAGACAGAAAUGUUCCCAUAGUUAAGAUAGCAGGCAGGCUCACUGUAUAGGAUGGUUAAGUAAUAGCAACAAUAGAAGAAUCCCCAGCAUAAAGAAAGAAAUGGAAAUAUGGAACUGUAAACUCCCCGUUAGCGCCUGCACCCUCACAUGGACUACUUGGACCACUACUAGUUGGGGAUUAUACUAUCACUCGAACAGGACUACUACUACUAGAUUCAAACCUUGCUAAAUCCUCUUCUUCUCCACCUCUGUCAACUUGACUAGACUAGCCAAUUACUAAAAGGGGGUUCUCUUUCCACCGACAACACCUUUCCUUUCGACUUGACUUCCAGAGUAUGCUUGGCUAUCCCUUGUAGUGCUGUACCUCCUUAGUAGUGCUAGGCCGUACCUUCCCUGUUAGCGCUUAGUCUUACCAUUACUUACAGUUAAGCGCAUAAAAUCAUUUCUUUACUUAACCUUAAAGCCACUGGUGGAUCACAAUAAAAAGCUUGAGCAGGAAGGUCUACGAGCAGAAAUUCCAGUGUCGGGCUUGUUUCGGAAUUAUUUGAAUGCUUUGCUUUGUUGUCGGUUCAGUUCUUAAAGUGGGCAAUCAGUCUUAUCCUAAAUAAAUAGAAAUGGAAUUGAAACCGAGAAAUAAGGCGGCAGCAGAGCAGCAAUUCCAGAUCUUGUCUUAGAGAGGAAAAAGGGGUUGUGGAAAUUCCCAGCUCGAGUCUUGUUAUCGCCAGGCUUUCAGCACCUGCUUGGUAGAUUCAGUCCUGUAAACAGUAGCUACAGUCUGAUGGAGUAGAUAGGGCCGUUCUCGUCAGUAGGUGCGUUAGAUCAUACCUGUAUUCUCUAUUCCUACCUUUUCUAGUAGUAGCUCAAUUCCAUAGUUCACUGCUCUAUUCUUAUAGUUAUGAAUUUGAUUCUUUGUAUCAGUAAGUGGUUUUUGUUUGCUUAUGUUACCGAUGCCCCAUUAUGUGUUUGAUUACCCAUACCGGACCUGGCAGCCCUAGAUCUAUGGAAGUAAUCCUCCAGAUGGACUCGGGUGAAAGUGAGUAGUGUCAUCCUUGAGCUUGUACCAUAGUCAUUGAAGAGCUAGCUACAGGGAAGGGCAUAAGUGUAGUAGAAUCAUAUAAAGCAAUGUCCGUUUGCAAAUUAGUAAGUCAGUUUGAAACCAAGCAAGGGCAUACUAAAGCUAUCAAUGCAGACUAUAACCAAAGGAGGGAAGCCUAAAAGCAGCGGGGAAUAUAUUCUAUUAAGUAAUUAAAGGAUCCGGAUCAGCAGUUACAGAACGAAAACAAGUAAAGGAGAUGAGAGACUAAAACAAGCGCGGUAGUCGUCAGUUUGAAUCAAGAGAUAGAGAAGGUAGGCCCAUAAGCAGUAGAGCAAGGUUCUAAUCCUGAGUCAUAUAAUUCAAGUAAGAGCGCUAAGCCCGAUAGCUCGGAAAGAGAGACUUAGAUGGGUGAACUGCAGACUCAAACAAUAGCUAGGUCGUUUUUAGAUAAGUAGCGGUGGGCUGUCCUAUUGGUGGGUGCGGGAAUACUUUUCAAAAGGUUGUCGAUUUAUUAUCCUUAUCACAUAGAUAGUCUCAAUACAAUAAAAGAACGGAAGAGAGUUUACGCAGUGCCAAUGAUAUUCUUUCUUUUCUCAUUAGAAUAUGGAUAUUGACUUUACUUCUUUCUUUUCUCAUUAGAAUAUGGAUCUAUUGCUUACAAGACUCGACUGCUUACUAACAUAUGUUUUCCGAUCUAAAUCCUGUAAUAUAAGAAUAGAAGCGGAGUACAUUAAUGAAACUAGAAAGUCAGGAUACCCGGGCUAGGCCAUUGAUAAACCAAAGAACUUUCACGAGCUUCUAAGACCACCAAGUCACUUACGGUUGUCCCAUUAACUUGUUGAAGUAUUAGAAGUAUUCAAGUUAUACAAAAGGGUAGUCGGGUAGUAAGGUUAUACUAAAAGGUAGUAAGGUAAGGCUGAUAUGGAGGAGAGUAAGGCUGUUAGUCGGUGCUGUUAGUCGGUAGUUGGACUCUCGCAAGUAGGUGCGCUAGACCAUACCCAUGAGUUGAAGAAUCCAUACCAUACCAUAUAGGUUAGCUGCCAGUUUAAAGUCCUGUUUUUUCCAUUAAUUCCAUUUCCUGUUCGAUCGUUUUCUCAUAUAAUAAUGGAAUCCAAUCCGAUACUGGGAUGUGUUGUGACAUACUAUGGUUUCAAUCCAUGUUUCAAUCAAUAGGCAAUAGGGAUGUGUUGCGCAACGAAAGACAUAUGUUUUAUAUGGCAAAUAAGAAUCAAAGCAAGUAUAGUAUAACUUACCUAUAAGAAAUGUAGAGGAAAGAUCUAGUUGUUGAUAUUCUAAAUAAGAAUAAAGGGUAGAGUCAACCAUACUAGGGUUGUUUUUCAGAGUCAAGUCAGUAUCGGGUCUAUAAGUAGCAAAUACAUAAUGGAAUUCAUAAAUAGAGAACUCCUAAACUCAGAAGUAAGCCUGUUUGUUAGUAGUGAGAGUUUCGAACCGAGGAGUUUUUAGCUCGCUACCGCGCAACAAACAUAGUUGCUUUGCCCCCGCAUCAGUACACAGAUUCAGAAUUUCCCUCAGUAGUAACAGUAUCGGUGGGCAAUGGAAGUAACCAAAACCGAGGGGCCUCUAUAGUAAGUUGGCAAAGAAUAUCAUCCAAACUUAUUGUUUUGGGGUUGGAUAGCUAACGGCUUUUAUUACUUGUGUGUUGCAGUGAGAGUGGAGUCUACAGGUGAGGAAUACUGAUCUUCAGCAGGAAGAAGAAGUGUUGCCGUUCUCAAAAGGGAAGCUGUGAAAAUAGUCUAUACUACAAUGCGGCAGAUUGGUAAUACACCUGACUUUAUCACUGGUAUCUUACUUUAUCACUGGUCUCACUGGUAUCUUACUUCCUCACCGGUAUUAAAUACAAUACUGGAGUCCGGAGCAGAGGUGUUUACUUUCGAAUAGAAGAAGGGCCCAGCCGCUACUAGAGCAAUAAAGAAUAAUGGAAUUGGAAGACAUAGCAUCGGUGUUCGUUCAAGGGGUUUUGUUAACAGGGUUGGCCAGAUAAGAGAUAUAUGAUAGUCCUGCUCCUGUACUGGAUCGUUCAAGAAACAAAAGAAGUCACAUUAGAGUUUAUUUGGAGUUGAUAUCUGAACCCAUCCUUUUAAGUAAAGAGUUUAGCCUAUUGGACGUGGGUGCCCAGUAGUAGAAUGCCCAGUUCCUGUUAUCAAGUAUGGUUAUGAGAGGUCGGGGACUUAUUAUAGGUUAAGGGUUUACAAGGGAAGUAGUUCAGUUGCCAGUUGACAGAGGAGAGGUAGAUUUGUAUAGGCUCAAUUAGGACUCCCAAAGGCUGUGCUAUGCGCUCGGGAGCCUGAGAUAUGGUAUAAGAGAUAUGGGAUAAGAGCGAACGAACACUAGCGGGUAGUAUAUUAGUAAAGAGCCAACACUGGAUUUGUAGCCUGAGUAGAGGUAGGGCGCUAAGCUAUUAAGAUUGGAUUCAGUAUCUGUUGCCAGAGUAUGGUUAGUUUCAAUAAGUAUUAGUUUACGGAGGUACUGUCACUAAGGGAGAAGACCGGUAGUACUAGUUCUUGAACACUGGACUUGGGCAGCUAACCAGAGAGGAGCCUAAGCCUACAGUUCCUUGAAACCGACCCCAAACACAGACCUUGUGCGCCGGACAGUUUAUAAACUUAUAAUGCAUUUCUUACUUCAAGAGUGAAAAGAGCCUCGCCUUAUUCUGGUAUCAAAUAAAUAGUUACCGAUUGCAUCAACCCUUUCAUAGAAAUUAUAUCUUAUCUAAAUAUAGGAGCUAGUUUAGUAAGAUCUCGCCCACUUAUUGAAUUCCUUGACUCGCACCCAACAAUACCUUCCCGUUACCGCCUCACUGACGUCAAAGACAGGACUUGAUUCUAAAGCUCCCGUUAGUGCUGAAUGAGAUGGAACUGACGCAGAUUCUCGAGUUUACUUAACAAUAACUGCGGAUUCUUUAUACAUUGAGUAAAGCACCUGAACUUAACCCUGAUUCUUUAUACAUUGAGUGGAGUAGUCUCACCUAUGUGUUAAGCAAGUAGUCAAUAGAGAAUAUAGGACCAAUACAAGCAGCUUUAAUAAGUAAGGGAAGGGUUAGUAGUUAUAAGAGCCGAGCCAGUAUCAAGUGGUAGUCCUGUUGGAGUUCUAAAGUAAGCUGCUGCUCUUAUAGUAAAUUGCUGUUCUAGUUUGUCGAGUGUGAGUGGAAUUCUUAGUGUAGCUCCACCGCUCCCUUAUUCUUUGUAUUAAUAGUGACAUCAGAGUUUCGGUCCCUUAUGCUUAUUAGUUGACAGAGCCGAGCCAGUAGCAUUGAGAGCCUUGUUAGUACCUGUUCGGGCCUUGUUGACACCAGUUUCCAGUAUUGCUAGCAUGGGUUAGACUACCAAUUAAUGCCAAUAAGACAACAACUCGAUAGCCAAUAAGACAACAACUCGAUAUACUGAACUCCACUCUCAACUUUACUUGCGAAUAACGUGGUUUCAGCAGGGCGAGGAAAUGAUGUUUCAGUUCUAAAGUCAGCUUAUGAAUUAGGAGUGGGAAAGAAAGAAAGUAAGCUCCAAGCCAUGAUUCCAGUAUAGAGGAAAUAGUGUCCGACCCCUCUACUCUUGCUCAGCCAAGGUAACUACUAUAAAAGUGUGAGUUUCAUCCCGCAAAGCAGACCUGGCCAGUACUUUCUUCUUCCUUUGAGCGCUCCGUUACUUAUGCAUUCGAAAAGAUAGUGGGCUUCUGUAUAAGAGGAAACGGACUUAGCAGGCUUCAGCGGAUUCUCUCUCUCUCGUUGCCAACACAAGAACAGAACGAACCAACAACUGAUUGAGAGUCGUCACACCUAUACGUAGCCCACAUAGCGGUCGGUAAAGAACUUGAACUUCAAGAAGCCCAUGACUUGUAAAAGGUAACAUGAAAUUGUGCGCCAUCGAAUUAAGGGAAAGCCCUUCUUAGUUUCCACUUGGAGCCUGUUUUCUUUGGAUUCCAUCAGUUAGGAUCCUUAUAUGAUAAUUAUGCCCAGGGGUUCCUUGCUGCUCCCUUGCGACAACGAUAGUAGUACACGGGAUGACACUCUUGAGCCCGUCAAUGAUCAGAUGACCCUCAAUACCCGGCUUCACACAGGUAGUUACAGGCUAUAGAUUCCCACCGAUUGACCGAAGUCAGUAGUAAGCCCGAAGUCAGGAGUCAGCCCUCAGUCUGUUACUAGGAAGUCUGUUACUAGGCGCGGGUAGGUAGGAAAUACGGAUGGUUUACUGACUUGCUUGUUAGGGUCGGUCAGCAGUUAGAGCAGAUACAUGAGUUAGUUCGGGUCGUGUGUGAAAGCAGCUAUGCCCUGUUUUAUGGGCUUCAAGUUCACUAUAAAACCACUUAUUGAGUUGGAUGAGAAAUCCUUCAUUUCACGUCUAAAGAUUCUAAAUAAUGAAUUUGGAACCCAAUUCUUGUAGUGUAGACCUGCCCCUCUCAAGUAGGCUUAGUGGUCUGGUCUGGUCUAGUUGCAUCUGUAUUUGUUGUAUUAGUUGACAUAGGAGAAGUAGAGUUACCAUAGGUAGAUGCGCUGAAUUCACCAAGUCAUAAUGAAGUGUUAGUAGCAAAAGGAGAGCACACAUAGGUUUAUUAGAAACCCCGCCUCGAGAGUCAGAAUGAAACUCUUAAGUAGAAGCCUUAAAGCACUGGAGUAGUAGUAGAGCAGUAAAGAGUUAACCUAAUUAAUAGCGUAAGUCAGUUACUCAGCAAUGAAACUAAUUCCGCAAGUCCUGUCCUCGUAGAUGUUUUCACGGUCAAAGAAAAGAAUCACAUACUGGCUUAGUUGCGAGAUAGAGAUAGAGAGCCCACUAAGCAAUCUUCAUCUAUUAAAUGCUGUGCUAUAGGAAGUGGAGUCAGAUUCCCAUGCUUAAUCAAGCUGCAGAUCCUAAUCCAGAUCCUAAAGAAAGCUUCACUAAGGUAGAAAUAGGCACUUUACUUAGAGAAUUCAAUUAAGAACGGAAAGUGGAGUUGCAUUAACUAGGAAUGUUUUGGGGGUAUUGACUUUUGAAUCCAUAUCCGCGAAAGUCCAAUAUCCUGUUUAGUAGCCUGUUGCAAGGCAAGUAUCAAGUAUCAAGUCUUGUUAUCGUUGUCGGCUUUGGCUUCCGUACCUGAUCCGGCUUGGUCCGCCAAUAACUUAUCUUGUCCGUGACUUAACUAUCAUUAUAUUACCUUAUACGGGGAAACAGAAGAAUGGGCUCGAUAAAGAAUGGAGUAGAUACACCCCAAAAAGGAUUUGCUCCAGGCGAAAACAGAGGACUUGCAACUAACUAACUAAGAAAGUCAGCAUCAAACGCUUCUGAAAGGAGAAGUAGGGCAAGCCAAUCAGAUUCUUCUGUAUGGGAUGAAACAAGCACCGCUCCGCCAGGAACCACUCUUCUCCUUAGCACCAACUUAUCUAUAUGCUCUUGGAGAUGAUCUUUCUACGGGUGACUUAGCGCUAAAGAAGGACAGAAAGAAUUAUAGGACCAGAGCAAACAAGGUAGGAACCAGAGCAAGCAAGGACAAGGAGUAGAGUACUAUAAGUGAAGGGAGUUAAGUAGAUAAAUGAUAGGUUUUUGAAUCCCGUCCCGGUAAGGUAAGGAAGCAGUUCAAAGAUCUGUAUCCUGAGUAGGAACUAAAGAAUCAGUUGUAUCCAGAGUCGGAGAAGAAACAAGAGAAGAGGCAUAAGGUAGAGUCAGAGAAUCCGCUGGGCGAGGAAAAGGGAGUUCAAGGACAGAAGAGAGUAAAGGUGCUUGUUCUGUUCUCAAGUUCAUCCAUUAAGUCUUGUUCAGAGGGGCAUUAUCUAUGCCUUCUCCAGUCCAGCUAAUGCAAAUGGAAAGGAACUUCUGGUUUAGGUCGGGUGUUUGAGCAACUGUAUUGCCUUUGCUUGGAGAAUGUCCUUCUUUAGCGCUAAGUCCUGCUCCAGCUCUCAGUAACAACCAGAAUAGCCAGAUUGUGUCCCGCCUCUCGGAAACAUAAUAAUUAGCCAUAGGUUUUGAAUAUAAAUAAGUAGCCAACCCCUGGGCUCGCCGACGAAGACGAAUUACAAAGUAAGGCAUAACAUAAAGCGAAUUCGGACUUAAAGAAUAAUAGAAGCUUGACUUAAAGAAUAAUAUAAGAAGUAAGUAAUCUAGCGCAUAUUGUCCCUUAUUUGGAUUCUUAUACAUAUACUCAAAACUCUGAACCAACCUAGUAUAAUAAGUGAAGGAACAAGUCCGAAUGAAAGUUUCCCAGGGGUAUUAUAGAUAUUGGUCACUAAGCAACCUAGUAGUGCAAGUGCUCUUUAUAGCCUAGUUAGUCGACUCUUUUUGCCAGGAAAGCAGUCAGCAAUGCCAGUUUCAUCCCGCUAAGCCAUCCAGUUUAUGUUUGACUUUCAUCUUUGUUUGGAGUAUCUUUCUAUUCGCCCAGUUCAAGAUCAUAUUGAAGCAGGACCAUAACCGAGUAGGAACAUAAUCAGUGAAAAAGUAAGCAAUUGGUGAAGAAGCUAGAUCCGGAGAAGGAUUAGAUGCAGUGUAAGUUAAGUAUACGAGAUCGGAAUAAGGGGAAAGAUCUGGAUCAUAAAAUGUCUACGCCGAUAGUGAUCCUCAAUGAGUGUUUGCCUAUGAUUAGCUUAAGAAGUACUAUCCGUAGCCCCAAGAAACAAUGGAGUUCUUCACCGACCCUUUGACUCUAUACUUUCUUUAAGAAGAAAUGGAAUUGAAUGCACCUGAUAUAGCAAAGCGGAAAUACUCUCUUACGAGCGAGGUAUACAGAAUGAGUAGCAGGCGAGUCUUCUUCUGGUCGAAGUGAAAGUGGAAGUUUGAGUGUCCCUGCUUAUAUAAGUGGAGAUAGGAAAUGCAUUCUGAUUGCCUAAAUUCAAAGGAAAGAAAGAAAGUCAAUCUAAAGUAAAUAUACUAGUUGAACUCAUCUCUCCCCUCUGGUUCUUUAAAUCAUUGAACCCUGCUGGCUCCGUAGUUUCUUGGCUGAUAGCAAAUAGUUUGAUGCUUACUUGAGAUUAGAAAGCGUAGUGACUUGCCCUUCCGCCUAAGCUUGGUCAUUAGUAGUUGUUUGUCCCGUUGCUUGACCCUUUCUUUAGUCUCGGUCUGAGGGUCGAGUCACUGCUCUGUUUUUCAUCACCUUCUAUUCUAUAUGUGGAGAUAGCUAUAUGUUCACGUGAGCCCUCCCUUCCUUGCUAUUGGUCUUACUUUGCUUGUUUGAAAGCCUACCUUUCUAUACGCACCCUUGCUUCUAUAUAAAUAAGAAAUUGGAUCCUGGCUUCUUUGCCUAGAGCCUUACUUUCCUAUCCCUUAGCCUCACACUAAUGCUUUACAUGCAUUCUACUUCUACUGAUUCGGAUCACCUAUUUCACCUGUAAGUCUACCAUCUCCCUCUCUUAGUCUACCUUUCUUGCGCCGUUGAGUAGGAUUCCUUAUUAACUCUCUUGGGUGUUAUUUCUUUAUUAUGUAUUUGAGUUUCAUCGGAUACUAUACUGGUGAAUUCUCAUAAGCUGUAGCUUGGUCACCUGUUUGGAGUUAAUGUAUUAUAAGGCAUCAUUCUAUUCUCGCCAGUACCUCUAUUCCAUUCCCGGUUUCUCUACAGUUAAAUGUGGUAAUAAGCAAUUUCAGAAUGCAGCCUAUCAGGGUUAAGGUAAAGAAUGAGAUAUAGCAGUAGGAGACUAACUGGCAGUAGGGGUUCAAUCUAUGUGCCCGGGUAGUGUAGAAUUCCUAGUUCCGAGUUCAAACCCUAUUUCUUUGUUUAAGUAUGGAAGGGCAGUAGUCCAUUCUUAUAUAUGGAAGUAAUUGCAGAACGAGAAGCAGUAAUUGAAGAGUUAAAGACAAGAAGGACAGCUUUGAGAUCAAUAGCUAUAGGAUGAAAGCAAAGGGAUAAAGACCUCUAACAGCAGGAAAUAAGGUUGAUAUACAGGAAAGCACAACUAAAAGGAAGAGAUGUCAGGUUAAUAAUAGCUCUAAGUUGAAGAGGGAGCGGGAGACCGAUCUUUGGAAGCAAGGAUACAACUAAGGAGUAGCGGCGUGGAAGCGGGAUCGUGAGAGUGAAAGUCAAGAGUUAAGGCUCGGGCUGCUGUGUUGAUACUGGUCUAGUCCUUUGCCUACUGGGCCAAUCGAAUAAGGUAGUUUUUCUUCCCUUUUAGGUGCAGUUCCUCUUCGUCUUUGUAGUGUGAUUGCAGCUCUUCUUUCUCUAUAUGCCUACUUCUUAUUGUACUGCUUUGUCCAGUUCUUCUGCUUACCGUUCUGAGUCUAUUUAAUAUAUGCCCACAAAGAAAGUAUAUUCUUGGAUUGCGCUGUCCUCUUAUCAGUAAGUACUGCUAUUAGUCUGAUGGUUCGUAUACAUUAGACAGGUAGCCGACUUGGAAGCAUCGACGGGAGUUCUUAGACUCAAACCGGAGCAUAGAAGUUUCUAUUGGUUGUGGCAUGCUAACAAUCAAGCAUAGGACCCGGGCGCCUAGCUCGAUUCUUUUUCUUAAGAUACAGUAUUUAGGUCAGUGUUUUCAGUCUAAUAGUGAGUCGUCGGAUUCCUGCUUUUUCGUGUAGUUCCCGGGCUGGGUUUAAGAUAUUGUUAGCCGGGUUUUGAUUCUUAUGGGCACCGGUGUAAUUCCCUUAUGAGGGUUAUUAUAGUAUUGAUUGAUUAAAGAAAGGAUCUAGAUCAGUAGCUAGAGAGUUAAGGGCUGGCAGGGCAGGCUAGGAGAAAGUGCAUACGGAUUUGGAUCUAGUAGUUGUGGACUCAAGGGGUAGCGGAAGAGUGAAAGCUCCUCUGUAGUGCUAAAGUCUGAUAGCUAGUAAUUGGAUUCUAAUGGUAGUAGUUGUUGUCUUAUAGUAUAGUCGUAGUUGUCUAAAGAAGUAGGGAAGAAAGUCAGGCUUGUCCCCUACUUAAUGCAAUAAGGCUUUGUGUAUUAGAUAAGGCUGGAUCGAGGGAGCGUACCCAUAAAUGCAAUUCUGGCUUUUGUAUUUGAUUAUUCCAUUUUGUAUAUGUGGUUAAGAAAUACUGAAUGAUUAGGAAAAAGGGGAGAGUGAAAAGCACUAGUUCGGUUCUAAGAAGCCGUAGCUGGGGUUGGUCAAAAAGUAGUGGUGUUUGGAUUCCCUGUAGCCAGCAGUACCCUAUUUCUUUCUGUUUUUAGUAUUAGAAGAAGUAGCUCCAUUCUCAUAGGCAAUGGAAUCAUAUUUGUGUUCCAAGGUAUCGGACCAAUAGACAAUAAAGGCAGACUUAACUAAAGGCGAGGCGGGCAAUCCUGAUGGCUUUGUCGCUUCCUUCCUUUAUUCUUUUAACCGCUACGGCUCAGUAGAAUUACUAGACUCUUAUGCCAAACCAAUACUACUUCCUUGCAUACUUGCUUCUUAACAACACACUGCCGUGUAACAUUAUACUAAGCUUGCCGGUUAUGGCUUGUCUACACCUAUCUCUCUGCUCGGCUUGCCCGAACCUAUAUCUCUGCUCGGAAAGGUAAAAGGCAUGGUUUUGAAAUGAGAAAUAGAUAUAACUAGGUGUGUGUUGGUGGUGGAUGUGACAUACAAAAGCUAUCAAUACAGGAUGAAAAGCACUAAAAGAGUGUAGUGGCAGUCAAAAGUAGACCCAUUCUCAGAAUCCAAGUUAGUAGCUCGUCUCUUAAUUCUCUUUUUCAUUCUCCUACUUAAUAUAGCGAAAUUGCCUGUUUCGAGUUCGAUUGUUAGAUGUACAGGAUUGUACCUAGAGUCUAGUAAUACCUAGGUUGGGGUUAUGCUCCAUUACUCUAUAAGUGCUCUCCCCCUUUGAUUAUUGUAAGUAAUAAUAUGAUAUAACCCUUAUUAGUCACAGUUACAUUCCCGUACUGCUUACUUAUAUUCUCUUGAAAUACGAAAUAGGAUCCUGUCACCAAUACCGGUAGGAAGAACCCUAUUGCUGUUACGGCUGAAAAGCCCUAACUACUAUCUGAUUAUCACUGCCGACCUGGAACCCUGCUCUACUUACUCUAUGGGCCUCGCGCUACUUGCUUUUAGGCUCCCUUUCCUUUUCUUUGAUUCUAUCUUUUAUUGUUCAAUUACUUAUUCAGUGUUCUUAUAAGAAUUGUUAAUGUUUAGUGCUUUCCGAGCAAAGAGAUGGGUUUGGUGAAGUAAGAAGAAAGUAGUACACUAAGGUGCUGAAAGCCUAGAAACUCCCGAUAACAAGAAUCGAACCCAAAGACUUAUACUCAACACUAAGAAAGCCAACAAAACUAUCACUUAUAGGAAUCUGGGCUACUCUAACAUAUAUUAGAAUGCAAUUAAUACUGCUCAGCCUUACUAUAUUGCCAGAAACUCCUCUGUGUAAGUUUCGCUCUUGUACUAGUGCUGGGGGAUUAAGGCUGUAGCCAAUACAAAGCAGAAUGCACUACCACUCCGAUAGGCAACGCUGACUAUUAUAAGACUAUAACUACGGCUUAUCCGCUCUAAAACAAUGGCUUCAAGUGCAAAGUAUACAACCAUGAAUAGAACUUCAAUAGUCAAGAAUAGAACUCAAUAGUCUCGGAAUGACUAGCAAGUAGGAGAAAGUCUGUCAUAAGCCCACAAACAAACCAGUAUAAAUAAGACUUAUCGGAGUAAGUAAAAGAGAAAAGUCGUAUGGCUUAUAGAAUGAAUGAAGUAAGUAGCAGACAGCAACUAUAAAGUCAGAGAACAACUCUAUAAAGUAAGACUCCAGCAGGAAUUCCACUAAGAAAUAGAAUCAUGAACUAACGCCCCAACGAAUGAAACUAAAAACAAAGAAUAAGGUCUUCCAGCUCCUGAUCUCAUAUCCUGAUUGUUAGUUUAUAGUACACCUCUCCUGUUUCUCUUUCUGAAACUCAUGCCCGG
Molecule: long non-coding RNA, 24082 nt
Filed under: Musa acuminata (dwarf banana)
Lineage: Eukaryota; Viridiplantae; Streptophyta; Magnoliopsida; Zingiberales; Musaceae
Description: long non-coding RNA (MACU_LNC008415)
Source: RNAcentral